GAUGAACGCUGGCGGCGUGCCUAAUACAUGCAAGUCGAGCGAACAGACGAGGAGCUUGCUCCUCUGACGUUAGCGGCGGACGGGUGAGUAACACGUGGAUAACCUACCUAUAAGACUGGGAUAACUUCGGGAAACCGGAGCUAAUACCGGAUAAUAUAUUGAACCGCAUGGUUCAAUAGUGAAAGACGGUUUUGCUUUCCCUUAUAGAUGUAUCCGCGCCGCAUUAGCUAGUUGGUAAGGUAACGGCUUACCAAGGCAACGAUGCGUAGCCGACCUGAGAGGGUGAUCGGACAAACUGGAACUGAGACACGGUCCAGACUCCUACGGGAGGCAGCAGUAGGGAAUCUUCCGCAAUGGGCGAAAGCCUGACGGAGCAACGCCGCGUGAGUGAUGAAGGUCUUCGGAUCGUAAAACUCUGUUAUUAGGGAAGAACAAAUGUGUAAGUAACUAUGCACGUCUUGACGGUACCUAAUCAGAAAGCCACGGCUAACUACGUG
This 497-nucleotide ribosomal RNA is filed under the name uncultured bacterium. RNAcentral's name for it is "partial 16S ribosomal RNA". It matches the Rfam family "Bacterial small subunit ribosomal RNA", at positions 28 to 507 of the family's 1533-position model. The record is from RNAcentral.